This 494-nucleotide ribosomal RNA is filed under the name uncultured bacterium. RNAcentral describes it as "partial 16S ribosomal RNA". It matches the Rfam family "Bacterial small subunit ribosomal RNA", at positions 28 to 507 of the family's 1533-position model. The record is from RNAcentral.
GACGAACGCUGGCGGCGUGCUUAACACAUGCAAGUCGAACGGUGAAGCGCCUGACUUUUUGGUGGGUGUGGAUGAGUGGCGAACGGGUGAGUAACCCGUGAGUAACCUGCCCCCUUCUUCUGGAUAACCGCAUGAAAGAGUGGCUAAUACGGGAUAUUCUGGGUCUGUCGCAUGAUGGUUCUGGGACAGCUCUUGUUUCGGUGGGGGGUGGGCUCGCGGCCUAUCAGGUUGUUGGGGGGGUGAUGGCCUACAACGGCGGUGACGGGUAGCCGGGCUGGGAGGAUGGACGAUAACAGUGCGACUAAGAGACGGACACGACUCCUAGAGGCGGCAGCAGUGGGGAUUAUUGCACAGGGGGAACAAGGCUGAUGCAGCGACGCGUCGGGGGAGAAGGAGGUCGGCGGGUUGUGGACCUUUUUCGGGAGAGAAGCCUGCCUGGCUCGUUUGUUGGUGGGUUGACGGUAGCUGAAUAAGAAGCGCCGGCUAACUACGUG